Molecule: long non-coding RNA, 1320 nt
Organism: Pezoporus occidentalis (night parrot)
Lineage: Eukaryota; Metazoa; Chordata; Aves; Psittaciformes; Psittacidae
Exons: 4
Source: RefSeq, a predicted model, not a curated record
GAGCAGUUGGGUGGGCCAGAGGGAAGCAGGCUGAGUGCCACUGGGACUGCCAGCGCUAUGGCAAGGCACCCCAGGGCUUCCUUAAGGUCCUGGGUGAUGUUUUUUGCUGAGAAUGGACUCACAGGGCUUUGUCUUCAAGCAAAUGCAUCCAUUGUAGCUGGGAGCACAGCCAAGGUGCUGUGGGAAAGCAAAGGAGUUUGAAAUAUGUGGCUUCAGCUACCAUCCAGCCUUUGAGUUCUGGUGCUGUAAUGGAUGCUCAGCACCUGCACCAACUGAGCUGCCAGUGUGGGGCUGAGCAAGGCUGCUUUGGGGGUUGGAGCUCUGAGGCUGAUAUCAUCGUGCUGGAACUAGGCUUUGCGGGGACAUGCUUCUCACUCCCUCUGGCAUCCAGCUCACCCUGUCCACAUGUGGAGCCCAGGCCACGACCUCAGCACUUGGCUGGGCUCUGACAGCCCAUUUAACAGUCAACGGCUGGAAAGGGAGUUGCUGGUGUGCUAUUUUUAGCCAGCUGGACAGUUAAAUAAUUCAGAUGCAGACACACACAGCGGUCUGGGCUGUGCCUGAGAUUUGAGAGGGGAAAAGAGCAGUGGAUCGCCCCUGCUAGGCUUGCUUGACCUUAUCAAGCACAGGUUCCCAGGCUCUUUAACAGCAAUACGAACAAACCCCAAGCCUCCAGGAGUGAAAUCCCUGCCUCACUGAUGUCGGUGGGAUUCCUAGCUGUGACUGUGAUGGAGUUCGAAUCACACCCCAGGGCAAGGUAUGCACUGUUCAGUAUUUCCAUGCUUUCUAAUGCUUCAGAACCCUUUUUUUUCCAUGACAAUAAAACCCAGUUAUGGUGUGACCAGGAGUCCAGAAUGGGGAAUGUCAAAACUUCUGGGGGAAAAUAAGCGUAACUUCUCUUUAGAAACAGGAUGCUCCGUGUAUGGCUACUCCCCUCCAUUUCAGACUAAGAAGGAAGUUGCACAGAAAGACAGUUCAUCCCUUCUUUCCAGCUCAAUCCUCUCCCCAGCUGUCCUGUGGAGUGGUUCACAGCUCAUCGAAAAGCCAUCCAUCUCACACACGGGUGUCUCUGAGAGCACAUAGCCAUGCUCUUCCCACCAAAUAGACUUCAUCUGGAGUACCAGAGGCAAUGCUUCCAGAGAAAGCACGGAGCAGUGGUUUGGUUCUGAAGGAGAGUGAGCAUUUACACCUGGAGUUGUUCUGUAGAGCAACAGAGGUGUCUGUGUUACUGAAGGGCAAACAAAACCAGUGGUCACCUGCUCCAGUUUGGGCAACUGGGCAUUUUCUAGUUUCUGGUCAAUAAACAGUUGGAGCUAUUCA